RNAcentral lists this ribosomal RNA (609 nucleotides) under Escherichia coli. Its description in RNAcentral is "partial 23S ribosomal RNA". It matches the Rfam family "Bacterial large subunit ribosomal RNA", at positions 2198 to 2806 of the family's 2925-position model. The record is from RNAcentral. Lineage: Bacteria; Pseudomonadati; Pseudomonadota; Gammaproteobacteria; Enterobacterales; Enterobacteriaceae.
UACCACCCUUUAAUGUUUGAUGUUCUAACGUUGGCCCCUAAUCGGGGUUGCGGACAGUGUCUGGUGGGUAGUUUGACUGGGGCGGUCUCCUCCUAAAGAGUAACGGAGGAGCACGAAGGUUGGCUAAUCCUGGUCGGACAUCAGGAGGUUAGUGCAAUGGCAUAAGCCAGCUUGACUGCGAGCGUGACGGCGCGAGCAGGUGCGAAAGCAGGUCAUAGUGAUCCGGUGGUUCUGAAUGGAAGGGCCAUCGCUCAACGGAUAAAAGGUACUCCGGGGAUAACAGGCUGAUACCGCCCAAGAGUUCAUAUCGACGGCGGUGUUUGGCACCUCGAUGUCGGCUCAUCACAUCCUGGGGCUGAAGUAGGUCCCAAGGGUAUGGCUGUUCGCCAUUUAAAGUGGUACGCGAGCUGGGUUUAGAACGUCGUGAGACAGUUCGGUCCCUAUCUGCCGUGGGCGCUGGAGAACUGAGGGGGGCUGCUCCUAGUACGAGAGGACCGGAGUGGACGCAUCACUGGUGUUCGGGUUGUCAUGCCAAUGGCACUGCCCGGUAGCUAAAUGCGGAAGAGAUAAGUGCUGAAAGCAUCUAAGCACGAAACUUGCCCCGAGAUG